GUUCAGCAGUGUCUGGUUUGGUAGGGUUUGUGGGUGGAGCUGACUGGCUGCAGAAGCAGGGACAGUUCCAGAGCCAUCCUGACACCACAGCCCAGCACACUUCCAUCUUGCACAGUCAGACACACAUCAUGAAGAGGCUGCUGGGCUCCCUGCUGGGGCUUCUGUGCACCCAUGUUUGCUGGCUGAAAGGGCAACAAGUGGUGCAGAGUCCCGGAGCCUUGACUCUCCAGGAGGGAGAGAAUUGUGACCUGCAGUGCAACUUUUCCUCCACUCCUACCAACCUACAGUGGUUUCACCAGAAUCCCCAGGGCCGCCUCAUCACCCUGUUUUCCAAUCCCUCGGGAACAAAGCAGAGUGGAAGACUAAAGUCCACGACAGACGCUAAGGAACGCCGCAGCUCCCUGCACAUCUCCUCCUCCCAGACCACAGACUCAGGCACUUACUUCUGUGCGGUGGACACACAGUGCUCCCCAGACACCUGCAGUCUGAACACAAACUUCAGCUGGGUCAUGGAUUUUGUUGAUCUGAUUAUGGCAUCUUUCAGAUCAUCAACCAUUUUUAUCAGAAAAGUUUUAAAGAAACUAAGGAAAGCUGAAAUUAAUGUCCAGAAUGGAAAAAUGGGGUAA
Molecule: non-coding RNA, 626 nt
Organism: Nannospalax galili (Upper Galilee mountains blind mole rat)
Lineage: Eukaryota; Metazoa; Chordata; Mammalia; Rodentia; Spalacidae
Source: the annotation of a RefSeq genome assembly